UACGUAGGGGGCGAGCGUUGUCCGGAGUUACUGGGCGUAAAGCGCACGCAGGCGGUUUGUUAAGUCAGAUGUGAAAUCCCCGAGCUUAACUUGGGAACUGCAUUUGAAACUGGCAAGCUAGAGUCUUGUAGAGGGGGGUAGAAUUCCAGGUGUAGCGGUGAAAUGCGUAGAGAUCUGGAGGAAUACCGGUGGCGAAGGCGGCCCCCUGGACAAAGACUGACGCUCAGGUGCGAAAGCGUGGGGAGCAAACAGG
RNAcentral lists this ribosomal RNA (253 nucleotides) under uncultured bacterium. RNAcentral's name for it is "partial 16S ribosomal RNA". It matches the Rfam family "Bacterial small subunit ribosomal RNA", at positions 524 to 776 of the family's 1533-position model. The record is from RNAcentral.